Long non-coding RNA from Gasterosteus aculeatus aculeatus (three-spined stickleback), 1004 nucleotides. Lineage: Eukaryota; Metazoa; Chordata; Actinopteri; Perciformes; Gasterosteidae. The record is from Ensembl.
AGGCACCACUGUACAGUUUUCUAGGGAAAGUCGUUCUGCUGACACCAAAACACGGCUUUACAUAAAGCAUAUCAGCUGUUUCAAAGUCCCAACCAUUUGUCUUCCUAAAAUACUGGUCCUUCCGUAUAACAAUAACCUUGUAUGUGAUUGGAGGACCCUUAGACUCCUCGUCCAAUCACGUGUGAGGUCAUAGGCAUGACUCAGCCAGCAGUACUUGCAAGACGAGCAUACAAACAGUGUGUUACUAUAGUCAGAAGAACUGUAUUUCCAGUUCCUUUGUUUGGUUUUUGCUGCUUCGUGAAUAAUGGCGGGACGACGUCUCGCGUUCAACUCGCCUUCAACUCCUCUCCGCGGUCACCAACUUUCGGCCAGUCCGCAGACAGACGAGAAGAAACUGCUGAAAGCUCUCAGUGGAUCGUCUCGUCAACGCCAACAACAAACUGCCGAUAUCAACGAGCGGUUCGCUCCACUGGAGCGUUCGGGACUCUGCGGGUUUGUGUCCAUCGAGGAGAGGAACCGACUCAAAGAAGAGGAGACGGGCGCACGAUCCCAAGAUAGCGGAAGCGGUGCGCCGUCUUCACAACUCCGAGACGAAUUACAGGCGCUACGAACCGGAGCAUGGACUAAUCUCGCCUCAUAAUGAGGCGGUGACCUCGUAUUUGCUCCGGGAAAAGUCCAGAUUUUGUCAGGGUUGGGGGUGGAAGGCAGGACUCAGACGCAGAGUUCAACAGGAACACAAAGGACUUUAAUAGUCAAUGGUCAAAAAACACAGGAACCGGGAGGAAAAACAGCAGGCAACAUGUGUGACGAAAGACAAUGACGCGACAAGUGACCCAGGAGACACACGGCUUAAAUAUACAAGGGAGGUGCAGGUGAUUGGACACAGGUGGAAACUAUUAGACGAUCACAGGGGAUGACGGGACAAGGCAGGAAGUGAAGUUACCCGGGGACACGAGUGGCAGAAAACUACAAAAUACAACAGGAAGUGAAACCACACCGUGACA